This 460-nucleotide transfer RNA is filed under the name uncultured Flavobacteriaceae bacterium. Its description in RNAcentral is "16S-23S ribosomal RNA intergenic spacer". The stretch from base 78 to 151 matches the Rfam family "tRNA". Lineage: Bacteria; Pseudomonadati; Bacteroidota; Flavobacteriia; Flavobacteriales; Flavobacteriaceae. The record is from RNAcentral.
AGAGAAAGUAUGACGACUGAAUUUAGAAUUGUGGAGGUAUGCGUUUUGCUAAUUACUGUCAUUUUUAUUUAUCAUUGAGUCUCGUAGCUCAGCUGGUUAGAGCGCUACACUGAUAAUGUAGAGGUCGGCAGUUCGAGUCUGCCCGAGACUACAAUACGAUCUUGGGAAUUUAGAGUUGGGAAAUUCAUCCAUACUGAAUUCUUUUCAGAAUUGGGGAAUUAGCUCAGCUGGCUAGAGCACUUGAUUUGCAUUCAAGGGGUCGUGGGUUCGACUCCCACAUUCUCCACUAAAAAGUUCAUUGACAUAUUGAAAAUUUUUAUAUUACAAACAUCAGUUAUCCAAUUUAUGUUUGUAAUUAUAGAUACACUACAAAGUAUAAAUUACGUAUACAUACAAUUAUAUGUGGAUUUGUACGAGCAAAUAUUAUAAUAAAUACAAUUUCAAAGAAAAGUAAAGUUAC